CUCUUACAUUCUUCAAGGUAACCCUUGGGAAUGCUCGUUCAUGAGAAUGCAACUCCUUUUACUAAUUCUGUGAGAUUGAGCUGCUGCUGAGAAGAGACCAUUUCCCUCCACCUGCUCCGAAAGGAAACUAGGGGAAGACAUGCCAUUGGGGACACGGGAGUGACAUGCUUUUUGGCUCUACAGGAAAGAAACUAUAGUGGCACCAUCCAAGGGCCCAGCAUCCCCAGAGGACAAUGCCUCUAGUAGGUCUUCACACAGGACCAUGAACAAAGUUCCAG
Molecule: long non-coding RNA, 278 nt
Filed under: Fukomys damarensis (Damara mole-rat)
Lineage: Eukaryota; Metazoa; Chordata; Mammalia; Rodentia; Bathyergidae
Description: lncRNA (ENSFDAG00000028510.1)
Source: RNAcentral